RNAcentral lists this long non-coding RNA (1098 nucleotides) under Homo sapiens (human). Its description in RNAcentral is "non-protein coding lnc-ZAR1L-4:1". Lineage: Eukaryota; Metazoa; Chordata; Mammalia; Primates; Hominidae. The record is from RNAcentral.
GGUAUAGUGUAGUAGAAAAAGGCUUUGGAACAAGAUGGUCCUGGUAUUGAAUCAGAGGCUUUCUAACUCUGGGAAAGGAAUUUGUUCUCCAUGAGCCUGUUUCCUUAUCUUUAACUUGUCUCGUACAGUUGUUGUGAAAAUUAAACAACUUACAAAGUGCCUAGUAUAGUGUCUGAAACAUAACAUAGGUUCACAAAUGUAUUCUUAUUUAUUACUCUGCUAUUUUCACAUAUUAUUCUUCUGUACUACUUUUUUUACAUAGAAUACUCUCCUUUUUUUGUAAGUUUGUUAGAGUAGAGGAAAUUUCAGAAGAGAGGAAAGCUGUUAGUGGAUCUAUUCAACUCAAAACACAACUAAGGCCUGUGCCAAAGUCUUUGCUUUAUUGAUAUGCAGAUAUUGAAGUGUAGAUACUGUGAAGAAGGCAGCCAUAAUUUAAACUUUUGCCUGAAUAUUUGUUUUUCCAAUUGUACAAAGGUAAUCUCAGUAAUCAGAAAACCAUUUGAUCAGAUGGGAAUGAAAAUGUAAGAUAAAGCUCAUGACUGAAUUCUAGGUCAUUAAAUUAUAUACUUGCUGUGCCUCUCUGUAGGGAGAAAAGCAGACUACAAGGGUAGGAGGACUGAAUGAAAACAGAGACUUAGGCUGUCUCUAUGACACAGAGGCUCUGCAGCACUUUUGUUUUUUAGUAAGUGUCCUCUGAUAAUGAAAAGAUAUGUGGCUAAUCCAAAAUGUUUCAAACUGGGAAAUGUGCUAAUUACCAGAGCAGCUGGAAAAGCCAGGGAGCUGGAUUUAAUAUUGCCAGCCUGGUGUGAGGAAAAAAAGGUAGAGAUGGUUUUACAACAUGUUGAGAAACCGGAUUUAAGUUUCACACACAAAUCAGCCCAGGCCAACUUGGACCUGAAGGAAUUCAGCAGAAGGCAAACACUUAAGUAUCAUAAUGCUAAAGGAGUCACACUGUAUUUAGAAUAUUGAAUAGUCAUCUGCACAGGAAUUGUUAGCAAAAACUUUUAAAGCCAAAAACAUUUUAUCACAAUUAAAAAAAAAUUGUUUGACCAUUCAACCAGCCAUUUAACCAGACUAUUUUUCAUUGUUGAGACUGAU